CAGCAAUAUAUGGUUGAUGUAACUGCCACAUCAGUUACUGCCACCUCGUCUACAUUCAUCUUCCCAGAGGAGUAGGUAGGGGAUGUUUUUACUAUUCGUAUUGCAAGUAAGAAAACAGAUGGACUAUUUAAGAGGAGAGGACAGUCACGUAGGACAGGAAAAAGAACUUCAGUUUGAUAUGCAAUUAAUUGGGGGCACCGUCAGCUAUUUUAAAAACGUAUGGAGGGAGGGAGGAUUUCCUGCUUGUAGUGAGGAAGCAACACUUGAAAACAGAAACAUAAACUUCAUCCUCUCAAAUCUACUGGAAAAAAAAGAGCGGCACACUGUUUGGGAGAGUACAAGACUCAAAUAUGUAGUCACUAUAUACAAAAUGAGAAAAAAUUGAUGGAUGAAUGCUUUAUGCAGCUUUUCCCCUACCACUGGUGAUAUUAACAUGGAACUAGAAGUAUGAUGCCACAGCUCAAUAUAUAGAUAUUUUUAGUAUAGCACUACACAAAACAGCAGUCCUGUUUUGUCUGGAGAGGCAAAAUGUAAAAAAGCUGUCAUGAAAUUACCUUCUGCCUCAUUAACAUUUCUGCACACUCAGUUUUAGUACUUGGAUUCCUAACUUUCCAUGGCUCCAUACGCACAAUAUAUUCCAUAGAUUACUAGAGUAACAAUUCACGUUUUGUUCUCCAAAGAUGAAAAGACAGUAGGGCACACAAUAUGCAUUCAGCCCUGAGUUCCCCUUACUUCCAACAUUCCUUUUUUUUUCUUUUUUUUGCCUCCACAUUUUCUUUUCAGCACAGUUCACAGUUGGAUGUAGACAAAAUCAGGUGUUAUCCCUAUGACGCAGAUAAACCGGAGCAGGAAAGACACCCUUCCUCGUCUCGUCUUUUGGAGUGCGAAAAAUAGUCGCUGGCGAGGCAACCCAGUGGUCAGGAGCUUCAAAUGGGUUUGGACAGAUGUCUGGAGGCUGCACAGCCCCAUGACCUUCCCCACUAAUCCCAAGUAUUUCCUUCUCUUUAUGUCUUCCUACAGGCUACCUCUUCUCUCCUCUGGUUCUCCCAUUUCCUCUCCGUCUCUGAUGCACCCUCUAUCACCAGGAGUCAGCAGCAGGGUCGGAUUCCGCUCCUGCAGAUGGAGGGACACCUCUUCCCACUGCUGGCCCUCAGCCAGCUGCUGCUGCUGGCAUUUUGGGGCUCAUCCUGAAAACGGUGUGCAUCCAGGCUCCAGCGGGCCAUUGAUCACUCACUGGCACUUCCAACUGAGUAGAGCCUUCCACGGCAGAAUAAAGUGACAAGAGCAGAGGAGGCAGAUUGUAGAAACCUGACCAGCCAUUGUAACAUGCACUGGAGGACAGCUUGAGUUUGCAUAUUAGCUUCUUUAUUUGUCCCUCUCUAACAGAUGAUACUUCUAUUGCAUAGUAAAUGAGCAACAUUAUUUGGC
This 1428-nucleotide long non-coding RNA is filed under the name Calidris pugnax (ruff). Its description in RNAcentral is "lncRNA (ENSCPUG00000006976.1)". Lineage: Eukaryota; Metazoa; Chordata; Aves; Charadriiformes; Scolopacidae. The record is from RNAcentral.